RNA transcript from Triticum aestivum (bread wheat), 2388 nucleotides. RefSeq lists it as uncharacterized. The transcript is spliced from 6 exons. The record is from RefSeq and is a predicted model, not a curated record. Lineage: Eukaryota; Viridiplantae; Streptophyta; Magnoliopsida; Poales; Poaceae.
GUUCAAGCACCACCGGUGUAAUUGACUCAAAUAUCUCACGAGCCUUGGUCGCCUCCGGUUUCCCUUCCCCGUAUCCAAUCUCUUGACCUACCGCCGCCGCCGCCUCCUCUCGCUUCUGAUGCUGCCGCUCCGAUGAAGAUUACCACGCCGCUGUUGCUUAGAUCCCUGGAGAAGGGGAACAGCAGCUGCGCCAAGCGGCAUGCCUCGUCCGAGCCGCAUGGUGGCCGACACAUCGGCGCUUUCAUGGCCGGUCCUGGGCGGUGCCUCGUCAGCGUUGUGGAUGGCUUGGGCAGCGCCUUGGCAUCCAAGAGGGGCGAAGUGGGCCGGCCAGCAUGCGUGGGGUGCAAAGGCCACGAGCAGGAAGGAGAUGCGCUGGAGGUGAUGGAGGAGGAAGUUGGAGGAGGCAUCAGCGUCCAUGGCGACGCCGCCACGGGACCCCCCGUGCACACCUCAGCGUCCAUGGCAGCGCCGCCAUGGGACCCCCCUGCACACCUCGGCAUGCCUCGUCCGUGCCACAUGGUGGCCGAGAUGCGGCCGCCCAUGCUCUGCCGGCGCCGUCUCAUCCUCUUCAUCAAGAGGAGGCAUCUCUGCCGGACGCCCGGACCACGCCUCCCCAUCUACCGCACUGUAAUGGCCACCUCCUGGAUGAGGCUGAGGUGAGCAUCAUGACGACCCGUGGCUGAUACAGAGAGCUCCUCGAACGGGAAGUAGCAGUGCUGGAAGAACUUGAAGAUGAGCAGGUCAAUUUUGGCAUGUCCAGUUAGUUCAGGUGAAUUCAUGGCCAAGAUGGACGGAUUUCUGUUGUGUGGGCUGGAGGUUCUUGAGGUGGAAAUUAGCAACCAGGCUAUAGUCGGUGCAUGGAUGACCAAGUUUACUUAUUACUUUAUGAAGAUGAUGAUUCCUAAAUGGAAUUAGGAGCUAGGUCCAGCAUGUUGAUUGUGCUUCAAGGUUGAAACACGAGAAGAACUAUCUUGCCUGCCUGAAAUUGACAGGAGCUUAGUCUGAAUGUCGAAGAAAUACUGGAAUGUAGGAUGGAAAGGCCAUUGUUUCGACGAGCUGAUGAACAACCUGGGUGUCUAAUUUUAUAUGAGCCAGGGAAAGCAAUUUUAUACCUAACAGCUCUCCCCUGAUUUGGAUCUUUGCUGGCCGUUCGAUCUUGCUCAUUUUGGUCAAUUGUGCCAGUUCGGUCGUCCGAUCCUUGCAUCGUGUUAUCACCAUGCCUAUUUUAUUCUCCUAACUUUGUCAUGGAUUAACAUCAUAUUACUAAUUUUUUGUGUUGAACUAACCAAUUUAACAAUCAAAAUUGCUGGCCUUGCAUCAACUGUUGUUGUUCUGCUAGCCAUAGGCUGCCCCUCAGGUUCAUAAUUCUAAGCUUGGACCAUGUGGCCCACCUUAACCAAUGCAGGUUGAUGACUCCGUGCGGUUGCUAGGGGCACAGGUUGUGCUGAUAAAAGUCCAUGAAUUUUUUAUUAGCAUCAUUAUUUUUCAAUUUGAUCUAUUGUUUUCUAGCUUUUCUUGUGUAUCAACUUCCAUAUAUGGUACUGUUUGUCAAGCAUUACUAUUGUUCUCACUUAGAAUUUUUUCUUUUCUUCUUUGCUACUUUAUAUUUAGAUGCUCAAGAAAUUUGGGAAGUAUCAUAGUGGUUCGGGCCUUGGUGCUACAUGAGACACAAGCACCUUCAAAGUACAUGUGUGUAUUAUGGAUAUUAGUGCUUUUGCUCAUUCUAAUUUUUUACUUAAGGUGGUUACAUUUUCUUACUUUUUUGCUGAAAAAGAGUGAAUUCAGUCAUGAACAUGCAUUGAUAUAUUUAUUGUUAGUUUAUCUUCGUGUUAUCGGUAUGCUUUUGAUGGCUGCAACCUGAACCAAUUAUAUCACUAUUCCCAUCUUACUUAGUGGCAUUGCUAUGCUUCACAGUAUACAAUGUUUUGCAUGCCAGUAUAAUUCAUAAGUGGUUUUCGUAUUUAGGUGUUAUUAAUAUGGUGAGUGAUUGAAGGGGAGGCAUGAGGAGAAGAGCAGUCCAAAGGGCGGAUGGAGCAUGUCACUUGUUGAUGUUCUUUCCAUUUCCGGACAGAACAACUUUUCUAUGAUUUGGGUGUAUGUUGAUGUGUGAAAGUCAAUCAUUUGGAUUCCCAACUAGACUAUUGUGUGUGUUUAAUGUUUUAUUGUGCAUUGAUAAAAUGUUUCACUGCCCGUGUUAGAUGAAAGGACAACACGGCAUAAGGGAGUUUGCCCUUUAGGAAGGUUCUUGUUUGCUGCUGUGAUUAAAAUUAGGAAAUUUAUAUACCUAUAGCAGGAUAGUUGCUCAAGCUCAAGUCUUAUGUAACAUGUAACAUCUGAACUAUGUUUGUGCUAAUAAUUUUUUCCAUUGAAAAAGGCCAUGUUGCACAA